RNAcentral lists this long non-coding RNA (1340 nucleotides) under Sorghum bicolor (sorghum). RNAcentral describes it as "long non-coding RNA (SBIC_LNC000160)". Lineage: Eukaryota; Viridiplantae; Streptophyta; Magnoliopsida; Poales; Poaceae. The record is from RNAcentral.
CAUUUAUUGUUCCAUGCAUGUGUCCAAAGAUUCGAUGGGAUGGAUGAAAAUUUUUUUGGUGGGGAACUAAACAGAGCCUUUUUUUAUCUAUAUUUAAUGCUCUAUGCAUGUGUCUAAAGAUUUGAUGUGAUGGAAGAAACUUUUUAGAGUAGGAACUAAACAAGGCCUAAGAUAAGACAUGGAGAGUACGGAAGUGAAACAAUGACACACAUUGCCGGCAAAUUUAUUGCGACUGUAGGAAUCACCGGACCUUGUUUAGUUCCAAAAUAUUUUGCAAAAUGGACACUGUAGCUUUUUCGUUUGUAUUUGACAAAUAUUGUCCAAUCAUGGACUAACUAGGCUCAAAAGAUUUGUCUCGUCAAUUCCGAUCAAACUGUGCAAUUAGUUUUUAUUUUUAUCUAUAUUUAGUACUUCAUGCAUGUGUCUAAAGAUUCGAUGUGACGGAGAAUCUGAAAGAUUUUGCAAAAUUUUUUGGGAACUAAACAAGGCCUUAAUUUCACGAAGGGGACAAAGUCAUAGACACACAAACCACUCACAACCCUCCCUGUCCGUCCGUUCCCAAUAACGAAAACUGACACGACGCAACGCAACGCAUCCUGAAUCACAACGCUCACACAGCAGCUGCCACGGCGUAAACCGCAGCCGCGGCGAGCCCGAGCACAAGACCCGCCGGUCCCCGGAGCGACGCACCGCCGCCAGAUGGCAGGGAAGGCGUCGCCUUCGAUCCGCCGCCGCCCGACGACCCUGCACGCAAGCAAGCAAUCAACCGCAAGAGGAGUCAAUUCAUCGCACCAAAAGUGAGCAAAAAAAAAAAAACAGAGUAAACAAUCAGCGUGAAAUGAAGCCGAAACCACUUCGUCCGCGGCGGCCGGCCGGUUACAUACCGCUGCACUGGCUGGCGGGUGGGGUCUGGACGUUGCAGGCCGCGGGGAGGCCGAGCGCGCGCGACCGGUCGAUGGUGACGCCGCCGAGGGAGGACGAGGCGCCGUCGCUGCCGAGCGCGGCGCACAGGCACUGCGGCUUGGACUGCACCACGCUCUUGAGCUGCGAGCAGCACGACGCGCUGGGCGCCGACGUGUCGUUGCCGCUGAUGUAGUCCAUGCACGGGGACAGGCUCACCAGCGCCGACGUGCAGUCGUCGCUGCCGGACUGCGCCGACGCCGCCGCCGCCAGCAGCGCCACCGCGGCCGCGGCCAGGAGCCAGAACGGUGCCGCCCUCGCUCUCGCAGCCAUUAUAUAUUUCCUUGCUUGGAUUUGCUACUGUCUGGCGUGACCACCUAAAGCUUGCCAGGAAGUUCGUUGCUGGCUGAUUUGUCAGUCUGUUGCCGCUGCUUUUUGCU